CUCUAGCAUCCCAAGUAUUAGAGGCACCGCCUGCCCGGUGACAUCCCAAGUUAAACGGCCGCGGUAUCCUGACCGUGCAAAGGUAGCAUAAUCAUUUGUUCUUUAAAUAAGGACUUGUAUGAAAGGCUUGACGAGGGUUUAACUGUCUCUUACUUAUAGUCAAUGAAAUUGAUACUCCCGUGAAGAAGCGGGGAUAAAAUAAUAAGACGAGAAGACCCUAUGGAGCUUUAAUUAAUUAAUUCAUUUUCACAAAACCAACUCAACAAGAAAUAAAACUAGAAUUAUGAAUUAAAAAUUUUGGUUGGGGUGACCUCGGAGCAAAACCAAACCUCCGAAUGAUUUUAACCUAGACCUACAAGUCAAAGUUACUAUCAUAAAUUGACCCAGAAAUACUCUGAUCAACGAACCAAGUUACCCUAGGGAUAACAGCGCAAUCCUAUUAUAGAGUCCAUAUCGACAAUAGGGUUUACGACCUCGAUGUUGGAUCAGGACCCCCAAAUGGUGCAACCGCUAUUAAAGGUUCGUUUGUUCAACGAUUAAAGUCCU
Molecule: ribosomal RNA, 546 nt
Filed under: Kannabateomys amblyonyx (Atlantic bamboo rat)
Lineage: Eukaryota; Metazoa; Chordata; Mammalia; Rodentia; Echimyidae
Description: partial 16S ribosomal RNA
Rfam family: Bacterial large subunit ribosomal RNA
Source: RNAcentral